UACGGAGGGUGCGAGCGUUAAUCGGAAUUACUGGGCGUAAAGUGUGCGCAGGCGGCCGAGUAAGUCGAGUGUGAAAGCCCCGGGCUUAACUUGGGAAUUGCGCUCGAAACUACUUGGCUGGAGUGUGGCAGAGGAAGGUGGAAUUCCAGGUGUAGCGGUGAAAUGCGUAGAGAUCUGGAGGAACACCGAUGGCGAAGGCAGCCUUCUGGGCCAACACUGACGCUCAUGCACGAAAGCGUGGGGAGCAAACAGG
Molecule: ribosomal RNA, 253 nt
Filed under: uncultured bacterium
Lineage: Bacteria
Description: partial 16S ribosomal RNA
Rfam family: Bacterial small subunit ribosomal RNA
Source: RNAcentral